RNAcentral lists this ribosomal RNA (453 nucleotides) under uncultured bacterium. Its description in RNAcentral is "bacterial SSU rRNA". It matches the Rfam family "Bacterial small subunit ribosomal RNA", at positions 8 to 507 of the family's 1533-position model. The record is from RNAcentral.
AGAGUUUGAUCCUGGCUCAGAACGAACGCUGGCGGCAUGCCUAACACAUGCAAGUCGAACGAGACCUUCGGGUCUAGUGGCGCACGGGUGCGUAACGCGUGGGAAUCUGCCCCUUGGUUCGGAAUAACAGUUAGAAAUGACUGCUAAUACCGGAUGAUGACGAAAGUCCAAAGAUUUAUCGCCGAGGGAUGAGCCCGCGUAGGAUUAGCUAGUUGGUGAGGUAAAGGCUCACCAAGGCGACGAUCCUUAGCUGGUCUGAGAGGAUGAUCAGCCACACUGGGACUGAGACACGGCCCAGACUCCUACGGGAGGCAGCAGUGGGGAAUAUUGGACAAUGGGCGAAAGCCUGAUCCAGCAAUGCCGCGUGAGUGAUGAAGGCCUUAGGGUCGUAAAGCUCUUUUACCAGGGAUGAUAAUGACAGUACCUGGAGAAUAAGCUCCGGCUAACUCCGUG